GGGAGGAGCAGGUCCCGCCACCGGGAUGCUCCGCGCCGGGCGAGCCGGAGGAUGGAGCGGGUGCCGCGGCUCAGAGCUGGACAGGCGCUAUGUGUAGGGACCUUCUCUGGAAGAAGUGGGUCACUCCCAGAGUGAAAAGGAGUUGCACAAGAUGAGCUUUUCUGGACAGCCAAAUGGUGCCAAUGGCUGCACUGGAGUAACUGGUACAACACUGGCUUAGAUCAGCCCCAUCACCAAGCCUGGGCUUUGAUCAGGACUUUUCUGCAAGAAGAAACAUCUCUAGACAAUAAAUUUGCCUCUGCACUUGC
Lonchura striata (white-rumped munia) is the source of this 308-nucleotide long non-coding RNA. RefSeq lists it as uncharacterized. Lineage: Eukaryota; Metazoa; Chordata; Aves; Passeriformes; Estrildidae. The record is from RefSeq and is a predicted model, not a curated record.